AUUGAACGCUGGCGGCAGGCCUAACACAUGCAAGUCGAGCGGAUGAAGGGAGCUUGCUCCUGGAUUCAGCGGCGGACGGGUGAGUAAUGCCUAGGAAUCUGCCUGGUAGUGGGGGAUAACGUCCGGAAACGGGCGCUAAUACCGCAUACGUCCUGAGGGAGAAAGUGGGGGAUCUUCGGACCUCACGCUAUCAGAUGAGCCUAGGUCGGAUUAGCUAGUUGGUGGGGUAAAGGCCUACUAAGGCGACGAUCCGUAACUGGACUGAGAGGAUGAUCAGUCACACUGGAACGGGGACACGGUCCAGACUACUACGGUAGGCAGCAGUGGGGAAUAUGGGACAGUGGGCGAAAGCCUGAUCCAGCCAUGCCGCGUGUGUGAAGAAGGUCUUCGGAUUGUAAAGCACUCUAAGUUGGGAGGAAGGGCAGUAAGUUAAUACCUUGCUGUAUUGACGUUACCAACAGAAUAAGCACCGGCUAACUUCGUG
RNAcentral lists this ribosomal RNA (484 nucleotides) under uncultured bacterium. RNAcentral describes it as "partial 16S ribosomal RNA". It matches the Rfam family "Bacterial small subunit ribosomal RNA", at positions 30 to 507 of the family's 1533-position model. The record is from RNAcentral.